GGGAUUGUGGCUCAGUGGCAGAGUGCCUGCCUUGCAAGUAUGAGGCACUGGGUUCAAUCCUCAGUACCA
Molecule: transfer RNA, 69 nt
Filed under: Ictidomys tridecemlineatus (thirteen-lined ground squirrel)
Lineage: Eukaryota; Metazoa; Chordata; Mammalia; Rodentia; Sciuridae
Also listed under: 1 other name
Description: Spermophilus tridecemlineatus (thirteen-lined ground squirrel) tRNA
Rfam family: tRNA
About the family: Transfer RNA (tRNA) molecules are approximately 80 nucleotides in length. Their secondary structure includes four short double-helical elements and three loops (D, anti-codon, and T loops). Further hydrogen bonds mediate the characteristic L-shaped molecular structure. tRNAs have two regions of fundamental functional importance: the anti-codon, which is responsible for specific mRNA codon recognition, and the 3' end, to which the tRNAs corresponding amino acid is attached (by aminoacyl-tRNA synthetases). tRNAs cope with the degeneracy of the genetic code in two manners: having more than one tRNA (with a specific anti-codon) for a particular amino acid; and 'wobble' base-pairing, i.e. permitting non-standard base-pairing at the 3rd anti-codon position.
Source: Rfam by way of RNAcentral